Molecule: RNA transcript, 2108 nt
Organism: Oryzias latipes (Japanese medaka)
Lineage: Eukaryota; Metazoa; Chordata; Actinopteri; Beloniformes; Adrianichthyidae
Gene name: alcohol dehydrogenase 1-like
Source: RefSeq, a predicted model, not a curated record
UUAGAGUGCCUAGGACAGCACAAGGGUUACAGAAUGAAACAAAUCUUUCCCUUUCAGCUUUUUACUUCAGGGUUCACCACAGAGAAUCAGCUUAACCCGGGACUCAACCAUAUCAUAGGUCUGGUUUGGUUUGGUAAAGAUUUUACGUCGGAUGCCCUCCCUGACACAGCGCACUGUAUUUAGCCGGGCUUGGGACAAGCACCAUGAGACCCUUGUUUGGUCCACUUGUGGCUACAUAAAGAAUGCAGCAGCUAAAUCGGGAAACACUAUACAAAAUAAAUGAACCCUUUAUUUUAUUUCAAGCCAUGUAUUUUUGAAUCUAUGACUAUUAGAUGAUCUCCCGAGUUUCUCCUUUUUAAAUACCAGUACACAUUUGGACAACAAAACACCUGUGAAGUUUUAAAGUUAAAUGUCUUUUCUUUUCAGGUUUAUGUGACCAAAUCUUAAUCGUGCAAAUGUUUUUUCCUUAAUCUCUUCAUUGUUUCUACUCUACUGUUCAUGGCAUAAAAUGAAUGGGUAAAUAGGUUCACUAGAAAAGGUAAAAUGCCAACCUGGCAACCACAGACUUUACCAGAGUAACUAGCUGACACUUAGGAGCUGUGGUGAUUGGAAAUGUAAACCUGGUGUGAUCCUGACAAAGAGCUGAAGAAGACUCCAAAGGAUCAGCACAUUCUAAGAUGUGUUUUGGGUCAUGUCCUCUAAGAGCCAGAAAAAGCUGUUCUAAAUUUAUACUCUGUUGCCUGCUGUGCUGCAGCUGCUAACUUGUUUUCAGUCCUCAAUUUUUAGCGGUUAUUCCUCCAGUUCGCAAAAAAUGUCAACAAUUGGAGAGGUCAUCGAGUGCAAAGCAGCAGUGGCCUGGGAGCCCAACAAGGCUGUGGAGAUUGAGGUAGCACCCCCACAGGAAAAUGAAGUCCGCAUCAAGAUUGUGGCGACGUCUGUCUGUCACUCAGACCUGUACCACCUUUUUGAGUACAUGCACCCAGAAGGCUUUCCAACUGUCCUCGGCCACGAGGCUGCUGGGACUGUGGAGAGUGUCGGACCUGGAGUCACUGAGUUUCAGCCAGGAGACAAAGUGAUCCCUAUUUUCCUCUGUCAGUGCAGAGAAUGUCGCUUUUGUAAAAGUCCCAAGACGAACCAAUGUGAACUUGCAUGGACCCGAGUUUGUCAGAAAAUAAUGGCCUCUGUAGAAUCCAGGUUUACCUGCAGAGGUAAGAGGGUGCUGCAGUUUAUGGGAACCAGUACCUUCUCGGAGUACACUGUGGUUCAUCAGAGUGCAGUGGCCAAGAUCGACCCUGCUGCUCCUCUGGACAAAGUCUGCCUCCUUGGAUGUGGGAUCUGCACUGGUUACGGAGCAGCGGUGAACACUGCAAAGGUUGAGCCGGGCUCCACAUGUGCAGUCUUUGGUCUGGGAGCAGUGGGUUUGGCUGCAGUCAUGGGCUGCAAAGAUGCAGGAGCCAAAAGGGUCAUCGCUGUGGACAUCAACUCUGAGAAAGCUGAGAAGGCCAAAGCAUUUGGUGCAACUGACUUUGUGAACCCCAAAGAUCACAACAUACCCAUCAAUCAAGUCCUGGCAGAGAUGACCAACGGAGGAGUGGACUACUCCUUGGAAUGUGUCGGAAAAGUGGAAGUCAUGCGUUCUGCAUUAGAGUCCUGCAUAAAAGGCUGGGGCGUCUCUGUGAUUGUUGGCUGGACGGAUGUUUAUAGCAUCAGUCAAACCACUGAACCUCCUUUGUGGACGUACUUGGAAAGGUUGCAUGUUUGGAGGUUUCAAAAGUAAAGAUGGUGUAGCUCAAAUGGUUAAAGCCUACAUGGAUAAGAAGCUGCUGGUGGAUGAAUUUAUCACUCACAACAUGACUUUGGAUCACAUCAAUGAUGCCAUUGAACUGAUGAAAGACAGUAACUGCAUCCGGACUGUGAUAAGUUUGUCUCCAGAAUAACCCAUCUUUGAGAUCAUUAUGCCCAUUUGGUUGAAUUGCUGCAUUAUGGAGCCUGUUUGCACAUGGGAGAUGAAGACGAGCAAAUGCUUUUCCUGACUUCUGUCCACAUGCUGGUCAUAAGUGAAAAUGUCCAACCUAAUGGGAAAUGAGUAAAUGGCAACUACAACUCAA